RNAcentral lists this long non-coding RNA (241 nucleotides) under Paramuricea clavata. The record is from RNAcentral. Lineage: Eukaryota; Metazoa; Cnidaria; Anthozoa; Malacalcyonacea; Plexauridae.
CAUGUCGCAACGAGCUUUGAUAUCGCUAGGAAGCCGUGAAAAUUACUCGUUUGACGGUGUCCCAAGAAUGGCAACGCUGUUGACAAAACAUUUAAAUCUACAAAUUAUUCAUCCCUUUUGUCUCGCAUGACGUGUUUCUUUGUCUUGCAAGCGCGUCGUCGAGCUGGCCGCGUCGUGAAUCGUAAACUCUCUAUUGAAAGAUUUGGAAGCCGUAAUUCGACAUCAGGAGGAAUUAAUUCAG